CUCUGUGACUCCUACGGGAGGCAGCAGUGGGGAAUAUUGCACAAUGGGGGAAACCCUGAUGCAGCCAUGCCGCGUGUGUGAAGAAGGCCUUCGGGUUGUAAAGCACUUUCAGUAGGGAGGAAGGUAGUGUAGUUAACACCUGCAUUAUUUGACGUUACCUACAGAAGAAGCACCGGCUAACUCCGUGCCAGCAGCCGCGGUAAUACGGAGGGUGCGAGCGUUAAUCGGAAUUACUGGGCGUAAAGCGCAUGCAGGCGGCUUGUUAAGUCAGAUGUGAAAGCCCGGGGCUUAACCUCGGAAUUGCAUUUGAAACUGGCAGGCUAGAGUCUUGUAGAGGGGGUAGAAUUUCAGGUGUAGCGGUGAAAAUGCGUAGAGAUCUGAAGGAAUACCAGUGGCGAAGGCGGCCCCCUGGACAAAGACUGACGCUCAGAUGCGAAAGCGUGGGGAGCAAACAGGAUUAGAUACCCUGGUAA
This 473-nucleotide ribosomal RNA is filed under the name uncultured bacterium. RNAcentral describes it as "bacterial SSU rRNA". It matches the Rfam family "Bacterial small subunit ribosomal RNA", at positions 328 to 793 of the family's 1533-position model. The record is from RNAcentral.